AGCGAACGCUGGCGGCAGGCCUAACACAUGCAAGUCGAACGGAUCCUUCGGGAUUAGUGGCGGACGGGUGAGUAACACGUGGGAACGUGCCCUUUGGUUCGGAACAACUCAGGGAAACUUGAGCUAAUACCGGAUGUGCCCUUCGGGGGAAAGAUUUAUCGCCAUUGGAGCGGCCCGCGUCUGAUUAGCUAGUUGGUGAGGUAACGGCCCACCAAGGCGACGAUCAGUAGCUGGUCUGAGAGGAUGAUCAGCCACACUGGGACUGAGACACGGCCCAGACUCCUACGGGAAGGAGCAGUGGGGAAUCUUGCGCAAGGGGCGAAAGCCUGACGCAGCCAUGCCGCGUGAAUGAUGAAGGUCUUAGGAUUGUAAAAUUCUUUCAGCGGGGACGAUAAUGACGGUACCCGCAGAAGAAGCUCCGGCUAACUUCGUG
This 433-nucleotide ribosomal RNA is filed under the name uncultured bacterium. RNAcentral describes it as "partial 16S ribosomal RNA". It matches the Rfam family "Bacterial small subunit ribosomal RNA", at positions 29 to 507 of the family's 1533-position model. The record is from RNAcentral.